CAGUAGCCGCGGGAAAACGAAGGGUGCAAGCGUUAAUCGGAAUUACUGGGCGUAAAGGGUGCGUAGGCGGUUGUUUAAGUCUGUUGUGAAAUCCCCGGGCUCAACCUGGGAAUGGCAAUGGAAACUGGACGGCUAGAGUGUGUCAGAGGAUGGUGGAAUUCCCGGUGUAGCGGUGAAAUGCGUAGAGAUCGGGAGGAACAUCAGUGGCGAAGGCGGCCAUCUGGGACAACACUGACGCUGAAGCACGAAAGCGUGGGGAGCAGACAGGAUUAGAUACCCCCGUAGUCCCUGUCUAUUAUAC
RNAcentral lists this ribosomal RNA (301 nucleotides) under uncultured bacterium. RNAcentral's name for it is "partial 16S ribosomal RNA". It matches the Rfam family "Bacterial small subunit ribosomal RNA", at positions 509 to 807 of the family's 1533-position model. The record is from RNAcentral.